GCUUACGACCACACCGGCCUGAGUACGCUGAUCUCGUCUGAUCUCGGAAGCUAAGCAGGGUCGGGCCUGGUUAGUACUUUGAUGGGAGACCCUGGAAUACCAGGUGCUGUAAGAU
RNAcentral lists this ribosomal RNA (115 nucleotides) under Oncorhynchus kisutch (coho salmon). The record is from RNAcentral. Lineage: Eukaryota; Metazoa; Chordata; Actinopteri; Salmoniformes; Salmonidae.